Long non-coding RNA from Triticum aestivum (bread wheat), 1309 nucleotides. RefSeq lists it as uncharacterized. The record is from RefSeq and is a predicted model, not a curated record. The transcript is spliced from 4 exons. Lineage: Eukaryota; Viridiplantae; Streptophyta; Magnoliopsida; Poales; Poaceae.
CUGGUCGAACUGGCCGUGGUUGUUCUGGACGUAGGACUCUGGAGGCGUCGCUUCUUCGUCGGUCUUAUAUGCUGCGGGUUCUAUGCAUCGGCCUCGUGGAUCUUCUGCUGACGGUUCCAACUUCUAUGCGUAGGCCUGCUAUCUUGUUUUGUGUGGACUCCUGGUCGCUCUACUGCUGGUUCGUUGGCCGAUGUAUCUGUUGCUUCUGUUUCUUUAUUGAGUUUGCCUCCAGAUUAAGCGCGGCGACGCUGGCAAGAAAUUUGGCGUGGAAAGCGACCAGUUGGUUCCUUUCGUGGUAGUUCGCCUCCUGAUUUGACCGGCUGUGAGGCAACUACUAUGCAUAUGGAUCAAGAUGAGCAAUCCAUGGUUCUACACUUAUCGAGGAAACCCAUCCCCAACGGUACGUACCUUCGAAGAAGGCGCCGACCAAGCCACCCUUCAACGUCUACGACUGUAACAGUUCAUGACGCUCAACACGAUGUCCAGGAGUUGGUCGGCGGUGUAAGAUUGGGCGCACAAGAACGACGGGGCUGUUUGGUUUCUAGCCACAUCUUGCCACACUUUGCCACACCUCACCUUAGGCAAAUUUGACCAAGUUAGGUGUGUGUUUGGUUCUAGCCACACCUAAGGCAAGAUUUUUUUUAUGAGAAGUGAACCCCACGUGUCAUAGGCACAAAAAGUGUGGCAAGAUUCCCUUAGGCAAGCCAAAGUGUGGCAAACAAUUUAAGCAACUCAAGUUAGGCAAGUGUGGCAAAAAUAAUGUGGCAAUAUAUGGCAAGCAUAGUCACAAUCCAAACAGCCCCGACAUCUCCCAAGUAACCAAGCAACAGGCUAUCGCCCUCCAAAGAGAAAGAACAAGGCGCACAAGAGUUCUGCGGAAAAUUUGUCUGCAAUUCUUCAACGUUUUGCCACUCGGCCACCAUCUAGGAAAUAUCACCAAACGGAACCAGCCUCCAAACUACGUCACGAUGAAGUUUUCACAUGUAGUUCGACCUACUAUCUUGUCUUGUGUCCUAAAGAUGUAUUACUCCUGCCGGCAAAAACUCUCUAUAAAAAUAUCAACAAAAACAUAACACUCACCUACAGAUCACCACACACUGAUCCAUGUUGGCAUCAUGUUAAACUCUACUAUUAUCAAAAUAUCUACUCGCACAAAACUCAAGAGAACACCACACGCACAGAUCGACAUGGCACGGCGGGCUGCCGCGCACUACCUGCUAGAUGUACGCUUUCACAAAAGCGCGCAAAUACAGCAGAAGUAGUGCACUUAGAACAAGAAAAGCAAACCAAAACAGUGAGGAAAACAACC